AACGAACGCUGGCGGCAGGCUUAACACAUGCAAGUCGAGCGCAUCCUUCGGGGUGAGCGGCAGACGGGUGAGUAACGCGUGGGAACGUACCCUUUCCUACGGAAUAGCUCCGGGAAACUGGAAUUAAUACCGCAUACGCCCUUAGGGGGAAAGAUUUAUCGGGGAAGGAUCGGCCCGCGUUGGAUUAGCUAGUUGGUGGGGUAAAGGCCUACCAAGGCGACGAUCCAUAGCUGGUCUGAGAGGAUGAUCAGCCACAUUGGGACUGAGACACGGCCCAAACUCCUACGGGAGGCAGCAGUGGGGAAUAUUGGACAAUGGGCGCAAGCCUGAUCCAGCCAUGCCGCGUGAGUGAUGAAGGCCUUAGGGUUGUAAAGCUCUUUCAGUAGGGAAGAUAAUGACGGUACCUACAGAAGAAGCCCCGGCUAACUUCGUGCCAGCAGCCGCGGUAA
This 449-nucleotide ribosomal RNA is filed under the name uncultured bacterium. RNAcentral's name for it is "partial 16S ribosomal RNA". It matches the Rfam family "Bacterial small subunit ribosomal RNA", at positions 29 to 523 of the family's 1533-position model. The record is from RNAcentral.